RNAcentral lists this long non-coding RNA (365 nucleotides) under Lathyrus oleraceus (garden pea). Its description in RNAcentral is "Pisum sativum (pea) long non-coding RNA (PSAT_LNC026162)". The record is from RNAcentral. Lineage: Eukaryota; Viridiplantae; Streptophyta; Magnoliopsida; Fabales; Fabaceae.
AUAGGGUUUAGGGAACCCCAGUUUUGACCAGUUAAAUUUCUCUGGUCAAUCACCAUGAACCAACUUUCUAGCUUGACAUUAUCUUGAUUUUUGGGACUCAUGGAUGAUCAUAUAUGCAUAAUAUGAUGUAAGGUGAAGUAUACCUUGAAAUAUUUGAUCAAUUUUGAAGAAACUUGUUGAAUAAGUCACAUAAGAUACCCAGAUGAAUUAGGGUUUCCAAGGCAAACCAACUCCAAACUCUUGAUGAUUUUUUGAUAAAAAUAACAUGUGAAGAUCAUGGGGAUCCAUAUAUGAUGCUUAUAGCCAUAGUAAACCAUUUCUUGAUUGAGCUCCUUACAUUAAGGGUUUUAAACCCUAGAUAUGAG